This 286-nucleotide ribosomal RNA is filed under the name uncultured bacterium. Its description in RNAcentral is "partial 16S ribosomal RNA". It matches the Rfam family "Bacterial small subunit ribosomal RNA", at positions 29 to 342 of the family's 1533-position model. The record is from RNAcentral.
AACGAACGCUGGCGGCAUGCCUAACACAUGCAAGUCGAACGAAGUCUUCGGACUUAGUGGCGCACGGGUGCGUAACGCGUGGGAAUCUGCCCUUGGGUGCGGAAUAACUUCUCGAAAGGGAUGCUAAUACCGCAUAAUGUCGUAAGACCAAAGAUUUAUCGCCCAAGGAUGAGCCCGCGUAAGAUUAGCUAGUUGGUGGGGUAAAAGCCUACCAAGGCGACGAUCUUUAGCUGGUCUGAGAGGAUGAUCAGCCACACUGGGACUGAGACACGGCCCAGACUCCUAC